Molecule: long non-coding RNA, 2068 nt
Organism: Monodelphis domestica (gray short-tailed opossum)
Lineage: Eukaryota; Metazoa; Chordata; Mammalia; Didelphimorphia; Didelphidae
Source: Ensembl
GUGAAUUUCUUUGUUAAGUGCUAUGUGUGUUCACUGUAGAAUUGGUAUCUGGAGGAAAGAGUGUUAAAUUAAGCCUUGGAUAUAAAACUUGGGGUCCUCCUUUCCCACUAAUGAACAGCCAUCAUGAAUUUAGUUUGAAUAUGAAUUGUGUUUGUGUGUUGUUUUUAAAAUAUAUUGGGGUUAGGUCUAGCCUGACCUUUACAUUUUCUUAGCAAUUGUGAAUAAGUGGCUAGACUAGACUAACAAUAUUUAAGGGAGCAGUUAACUAUAAUUCCAGUCUGGUACCCCUCUCUCAAAUCUCAAAAAAAAAAAGAGAGUGGCCAAGCUUUUGAUCCUGACCUCCUGGCAAGAAAUAAAGCCUUCCAUGGAAGAGGGUGGGACAGAGGAAAAGCUAGAGAUACCAAUUCUGCCUCCCUUCAAGCCACAUAAUAAUCCCAUGUUACAUGCUAUAUAUGGAAGGUCAGCCUUCACUUCAGGCCCCAGUUAGUUGGCCUUUGCACUGAGGGAAUUGUAUCCUCCUGUAGUUAUAUAUUAAAAUUCUUGUGGGUGGACACCUGAGAAGGAGAUUGGAAAGUGAGGGAAAAUGGAUAGAGAGGGGAAAGAGAGAGAGAGAGAGAGAGAGAGAGAGAGAGAGAGAGAGAGAGAGAGAGAGAGAGAGAGAGAGAGAGAGAGAGAGAGAGAGAGGGAGGGAGGGAGAGAGAGGGGAGAGAGAGAGAGAGAGAGAGAGAGAGAGGGAGAGGGAGAGAGAGAGAGAGACAGAGACAGAGACAGAGACAGAGAGAGAGACAGACAGAGACAGAGACAGAGAGACAGAGAGAGAGAGAGAGAGAGAGAGAGAGAGAGAGAGAGAGAGAGAGAGAGAAAGGGGAGAGAAGGGAAUAGGGCUUAAAUACCCCCUCUGUUUAGGCUGGGCCAAAAGGCCCAAGCCCUUAGAUAGCUGGGGCAAAGAAAGGAGAUCAGUCCCUAUUACUCACGUGACCAAAAUGGAGAAACAGUCUCAGAGGCCCCCACCUCCAGCUUCCUUCAGAGCAAGCUUCUCAGAGAACCUCUCCAACCACUCAGAGCCAAAACUCUCCAACCACCCUUCAGUCCUCAGACCCCUCUAUCUUUAAGGAAACCAUCCAAGUUCCCUCCCCUCAGUUCUCACAUCUACCAAUCACUGUCCAUCAUUUUCCCUGUGCCAAUGGUGGCUCUAGCUUAACCCAGGACCGCCCAGAGGUCUGUGGCUUUGCACAUGUCUGUUGGAGGUCAUAUUCUCAAAUAAUUAAAUCUUGAUCUUUUGCUACAGCCCUUCCUAAAUCCUGUUACCCUGAGUAGGGUAGAGAUUGGAAUAAUUAAAUUUUGAUCUAUGCUGCAGCCCUUCCUAAAUCCUGUUAGGACUGAGUAGGGUGGAGAUUGCAAUUUCCAAGACUUGGUUCUGUCAUUCCAAGUAUCUCCAUUGUAUCAAUUCUAAAAUCAAUCAUGACUCAAAGAAAUUCCUGUUCUAUGCUUAAACAUAGGUCAAAGUCCUUUCCAUUGUUCAGCAAAAGGUUUCUGUCCUAAAGUAAUCUUAAGAAGGGAGGAGGAGGAACCUCCCAUGCCAAUGGGGUUCACAUUCCAAUAGCCAAGACCCACUAUCAAUAGGAAAUUUUUCAAGUAUGAAAUUUCCCAAUGGUGAAAUUUCCAACAUUUAUAAGUCUAAGAAAUUUUAAGGUUUACAAGACACACUUGGAGUGAAGAGACACAUUUGGAGUGGAACCUCCUAUAAGAAGCAGUUCUACUGGAGUUGAAGUUGAUAAAGAAUCUGCUGAUUGAACUGGCAAGUGUAAAGGCUGACUUUAGUAAUUCAUUUUGGAGAUUUAGUAAUUAAAUCCCUGGUGACCAAUUAAAGAUAUUCAGUCCAACCAUAAAUUUAACAAAUACUAUAAAAGUUUCAGUCCUUUACACUAUAAUUUGCAGAGCAUGUGCUAAUCUGCCUUGAUAGAGAGAAUUUCUUUCUCAGAUAUUUCCUAUAUCAAUGAAAUCAUAAGUGUCACUAAAACAAACAAACAAAAAACCCCAAAGCAAUAAAGAUACCAAUACAGGGGCA